CCCCCCCAGCUGAUCUACGUAGAUCGUGACUGCUGCAGCCGAGACGGCGUGUCGAAGACAGCUGCCUUGUUUCAGGAGUGAGGACAGCUUGUGGUGAGACUGGACAUCUGGCACCUGAUGCGGCGUCUCACUGAGGCUAAGCGGUCACAGCUGGAGGGGCAGCACGAGAUUCUUGGCCUGACUGAUGCCGAUGUCAUCAGGAGGAUCUCCAGGGAGGAGUGGAGGCUCCACUGUCGUCGGACACAUUGUGACAGUUUGUCUUUAUCCGUUUUAUGUUUUCUUUAUAUGGUCAUGGGAUGCCAGCCCCAUGACAUUAAACGUAAAGAUAAACCCAACAAAAGACAAACACAAUUCAAGGUUCAAAUCAAAUGUUCCUAUAUUUAACACAAAAUUGAGCAAAGCACUCAAAAUCCUACAGAAAAAAAAGAUAUUGUCCAAAAUUCCACAGUAGAGAAAUUGCAUACAACAAAUAAAACAAAGUCAACACUCCUCAUCCAGGAGCUCCUCGACACUGUCAGCGGACCAGCCGGGCGCAACCCCCUGGACAUCCCGUUGCUGGAUGCUCUCCUCAUCUGGGAAAUUUGUAGUACACAGAGGCCCCACCGGGCAUGCAGCUGUACACCCAGACUGGCAGGCUGACAAAGGGCUGCGCGAGGGGCUCCACGUCUCUGGAGUCCUUCCACCUCCACCGAUUCAUCCCAGGGACGCAAGCCAGUGCUACGCACAUCCAGGUGUUCCUGGGCGAUGGACUGUUGAGGUGGAACGAGGAUCAGAAGAACCAACGGGUGCUUGGCCUUCCCAUGGUUAAGGACUUCACCAAGCCUGCUGAGUACACAGGGGAGCUCAUCGGGGUUGAGUACGGGUGCCAGAAGACAGGCAGAGUGCUUUAGGUCGUCAGCUUGGACCCUGACAAUCUGGUCGAGGCUGCUGCCAUCGAGUCCCUUGGGGAGUCUGAGGAGGAGAUGGAGGGUCCCAAUGGUCAACCAGGAUAGUGGCAUGUCCUGAGGCUGGCCCAGGCCCUGCUGGAAGCAUGGAGCCCCAGUGGUUCUCUCGGCGCCAGAAAGAAGAGGAGAAGGCUGUGCUGCUGCUGGCAACUGGCGUCGUGCCUGUGGCAGCACUGGCUGGUGAGCCUCUUCCUCCGGCCCGAGGCUGCCGCUGCUGGGCAGGGGCUGCCACCCGGGAGCAAACCCCACCGGCAGCCAAAAAGGCUUGACACUGGCCACACACGUGUGGGAGGCGUGGCGUACUGCGCAACUGUCGGCAGGAAUGAUCUGACCACAAAUGGACCCAGCAGUUUUUGAGCCCGAUUUUCACCCAUUGGACUCUGAUGGAAAGUCAUGAAAAAAAAUGUUCGCUUUCUGUAUGAGGUGGACCCCACCCUUGCUAGGCACCUCAUGGAGGUUCGCUGGCAGGCUAUGAGCAGGAAUUUGGCCUCCCUGUCUCCAAGUCUGUCUAUCCUCCAGAGCCUCAGCGAAUCAGCCUUCCAGAGCCUCAGCAGACACGUCUCCCAGAGCCUUCGUUGACCGGCGCCUCACAGAUUGUGCCAUUGUCCGGUACCUCAGACUGUGCCGGUUUCCAACACCUCAGUAACUGUGCCGAUUCCCGGCGCCUCAGAGACUUUGGCGGUGCACGUUUUCUCAAAAACUUUGGCGUUACCCGGCGAUCCAGAGACUCCUGUUCCCCGUGUUCUGUCGGCGGCUCGGUCGACUCAUGUUCCUGUUGCCUUGUCACGGGAUCCUGUGGACCCAGGACCAAUUGUAUUCUAGAUUUUGUAUACAAAUUUGGUGUACCUCAGACUAUUUACAGACCAGGGGACAGAGUUCAAAAACCAGGUGAACACUCAUGACAAACAUUGCAUCUUACUGAGCCGUAGUGUAAAUGCUGACCUUUUUUCUGCAAAAUUAAAUUUAAGG
Molecule: long non-coding RNA, 1913 nt
Organism: Perca flavescens (yellow perch)
Lineage: Eukaryota; Metazoa; Chordata; Actinopteri; Perciformes; Percidae
Exons: 7
Source: RefSeq, a predicted model, not a curated record